RNAcentral lists this ribosomal RNA (1029 nucleotides) under Triticum aestivum (bread wheat). RNAcentral describes it as "partial small subunit ribosomal RNA". Lineage: Eukaryota; Viridiplantae; Streptophyta; Magnoliopsida; Poales; Poaceae. The record is from RNAcentral.
AUGUCCACGAGGCCCCGGCCGGCUGUACCAUUGGUGCAGAAAGCUGUAACUGAUGACGGGCCUGACAAUUUUAAGUCAAUGUCAGAAAUAGAGGAUGAAAUUGGCAAGAAAUACAAGUUAUUUAAACAGUUUGACAUUAUUAAAGAUUUCUCUGAUCAUCAUUAUGCCAGUAAUCCUGUUGGAAAGACAGGGAAAGAGUGGACAAAAAGAAUUCAGCAUGACUGGAAACUCCUGGAGAACAAUUUACCAGCGUCCAUAUAUGUUCGCGUUUCGGAAAACCGAAUGGACCUUCUCAGGGCUGUGAUCAUUGGGCCUCAGGGAACACCCUACCAUGAUGGCCUUUUCUUCUUUGAUGCUCAAUUCACUGCUAGUUAUCCAGCGACUCCUCCAGUGGUAUACUAUCAUUCUGGAGGACUUCGGCUUAAUCCAAAUCUGUAUGAUUGUGGAACAGUCUGCCUUAGCCUCCUGGGAACCUGGCAUGGUAACGGCUGUGAGAAUUGGAACUCAGCUCACUCAAGCAUGCUACAAGUGCUGAUAUCCAUUCAAGGUCUCAUAUUGAAUGAAAAGCCAUACUUCAAUGAGCCAGGAUACGAGACUGAAGUCAAUGAUGCUAAUGGACAGAGGAGGUCCUUGGAGUAUAAUGAUACAGCAUUUCAGCACUCGUGUGGGACAAUGCUGUACUCACUUCGUAGGCCUCCACAGCACUUUGAAGAUCUUGUUGCCGGCCACUUUCGUGAACGUGGCCAUGCAAUUCUGGCUGCAUGCAAAUAUUACAUGGAAGGUAACGAAGUUGGGUCCGUAGUUCCUGAUGAGGACGAUGAGGGCAAGGAGCUGGAAAAUGCAAAUGCGCGUGCAGGUGCAGGUCGACGAACCGCAUCCUUCAAGGGCGACAUGAAGGUUCUGUUUGAAGAGCUCCUGGUGGAAUUCAGUGUGAAGGGUGCUGACACCAAGAAGUUCUGUGCUGAGAAGGUGAAGAAGACGCGUCAAAAAAAGAAGAAGUUGAAGAAGAGCCAGCCUGCUGCUGCUUGA